GAAAUGCGAUAAGUAGUGUGAAUUGCAGAAUUCAGUGAAUCAUCGAAUCUUUGAACGCACAUUGCGCCCUUUGGUAUUCCAAAGGGCAUGCCUGUUCGAGCGUCAUUUGUACCCUCAAGCUUUGCUUGGUGUUGGGCGUCUUUUGUCUCCAGCUCGCUGGAGACUCGCCUUAAAGUCAUUGGCAGCCGGCCUACUGGUUUCGGAGCGCAGCACAAGUCGCGCUCUUGCCCAGCCAAGGUCAGCGUCCAGCAAGCCUUUUUUCAACCUUUGACCUCGGAUCAGGUAGGGAUACCCGCUGAACUUAA
Molecule: unclassified non-coding RNA, 305 nt
Filed under: uncultured Chalastospora
Lineage: Eukaryota; Fungi; Ascomycota; Dothideomycetes; Pleosporales
Description: sequence contains ITS1
Rfam family: 5.8S ribosomal RNA (bases 1-105)
Source: RNAcentral